Molecule: ribosomal RNA, 460 nt
Filed under: uncultured bacterium
Lineage: Bacteria
Description: partial 16S ribosomal RNA
Rfam family: Bacterial small subunit ribosomal RNA
Source: RNAcentral
CCUACGGGAGGCAGCAGUGAGGAAUAUUUGUCAAUUUUCUUACUCCUUAACCAGCCAAGUCGCGUGAGGGAAGACUGCCCUACGGGUUGUAAACCUCUUUUGCCAGGGAGCAACGCCGGCUACGUGUAGCCGGACUGAGAGUACCUGAAGAAAAAGCAUCGGCUAACUCCGUGCCAGCAGCCGCGGUAAUACGGAGGAUGCGAGCGUUAUCCGGAUUUAUUGGGUUUAAAGGGUGCGUAGGCGGAAUGCCAAGUCAGCGGUAAAAGCGCGGGGCUCAACCGCGUUCCGCCGUUGAAACUGGGGUGCUUGAGGGGGCGAGAAGUAUGCGGAAUGCGUGGUGUAGCGGUGAAAUGCAUAGAUAUCACGCAGAACUCCGAUUGCGAAGGCAGCAUACCGGCGCCCAACUGACGCUGAGGCACGAAAGCGUGGGGAUCGAACAGGAUUAGAUACCCGUGUAGUC